RNAcentral lists this ribosomal RNA (253 nucleotides) under uncultured bacterium. Its description in RNAcentral is "partial 16S ribosomal RNA". It matches the Rfam family "Bacterial small subunit ribosomal RNA", at positions 524 to 776 of the family's 1533-position model. The record is from RNAcentral.
UACGAAGGGGGCUAGCGUUGUUCGGAUUUACUGGGCGUAAAGCGCACGUAGGCGGAUUGUUAAGUCGGGGGUGAAAUCCUGGAGCUCAACUCCAGAAUUGCCUUCGAUACUGGCUUUCUAGAGGCUGGAAGAGGUUAGUGGAAUUCCCAGUGUAGAGGUGAAAUUCGUAGAUAUUAGGAAGAACACCGGUGGCGAAGGCGGCCCACUGGUCCGGUACUGACGCUGAGGUGCGAAAGCGUGGGGAGCAAACAGG